This 797-nucleotide ribosomal RNA is filed under the name Metialma sp. BHJ-2011. RNAcentral describes it as "eukaryotic LSU rRNA". It matches the Rfam family "Eukaryotic large subunit ribosomal RNA", at positions 415 to 944 of the family's 3401-position model. The record is from RNAcentral. Lineage: Eukaryota; Metazoa; Arthropoda; Insecta; Coleoptera; Curculionidae.
GUAAACCUGAGAAACCCGAAAGGUCGAAGGAAGAAAUUCAUUCGUGUUUCGCGACAGGCGCCGAAAGGUCUAGUGACGUCGAGAGAUUCGUCUCGAGAUGCGCAUUCCGUUCGGAUAGAUCCAGUUGCGAGCGCGUGCACUUUUCUUCUGGUAGGACGUCGCGAUCCGUUGAGUGUCGGUCUACGGUUCGUGGUGGAGACCGUUCGUCUGGCGUUCGUAACCCGUACGUCGACGUGACGGACCCACGUUUUCCUGGCCGACUCGCUCGACGGUAUACAUAAAGUUCUGGGUCGCUCUCUACGGAGCGUUCGGCACGUUGGCAAGCGCGCCGCGCGUAUUGGCGAUCGGACCUAGUGCCGAUCCCGAUCGCCGGCGACUGUUGGCUACGUUCGCCUCGAACGGACCUUCUUUAUAAUUGAACUGAUCUGCGACGCUAUAGCUUUGGGUACUUUCAGGACCCGUCUUGAAACACGGACCAAGGAGUCUAGCAUGUGCGCGAGUCAUUGGGAUUUAUUAUUAAACCCAAAGGCGCAAUGAAAGUGAAGAUCUUCCUUGCGGAGAUCGAGGGAAGACGAGCGGUUUAGCCGUUAAAAGCGGCCGCUUUGCAUUCCCGGGGCGUCUCAUUCUCAUUGCGAGAAGAGGCGCACCAAGAGCGUACACGCUGGGACCCGAAAGAUGGUGAACUAUGCCUGGUCAGGACGAAGUCAGGGGAAACCCUGAUGGAGGUCCGUAGCGAUUCUGACGUGCAAAUCGAUCGUCGGAACUGGGUAUAGGGGCGAAAGACUAAUCGAACCAUC